AUGAACGCUGGCGGCGUGCCUAAUACAUGCAAGUUGAGCGAACAGACGAGGAGCUUGCUCCUCUGACGUUAGCGGCGGACGGGUGAGUAACACGUGGAUAACCUACCUAUAAGACUGGGAUAACUUCGGGAAACCGGAGCUAAUACCGGAUAAUAUAUUGAACCGCAUGGUUCAAUAGUGAAAGACGGUUUUGCUGUCACUUAUAGAUGGAUCCGCGCCGCAUUAGCUAGUUGGUAAGGUAACGGCUUACCAAGGCAACGAUGCGUAGCCGACCUGAGAGGGUGAUCGGCCACACUGGAACUGAGACACGGUCCAGACUCCUACGGGAGGCAGCAGUAGGGAAUCUUCCGCAAAGGGCGAAAGCCUGACGGAGCAACGCCGCGUGAGUGAUGAAGGUCUUCGGAUCGUAAAACUCUGUUAUUAGGGAAGAACAAAUGUGUAAGUAACUAUGCACGUCUUGACGGUACCUAAUCAGAAAGCCACGGCUAACUACGUG
Molecule: ribosomal RNA, 496 nt
Filed under: uncultured bacterium
Lineage: Bacteria
Description: partial 16S ribosomal RNA
Rfam family: Bacterial small subunit ribosomal RNA
Source: RNAcentral